GGUUGCGAUCAUACCAGCACUAAUGCACCGGAUCCCAUCAGAACUCCGCAGUUAAGCUUGCUUGGGCGAGAGUAGUACUAGGAUGGGUGACCCCCUGCGAAGUCCUCGUGUUGCAACCCC
RNAcentral lists this ribosomal RNA (120 nucleotides) under Helianthus annuus (common sunflower). Lineage: Eukaryota; Viridiplantae; Streptophyta; Magnoliopsida; Asterales; Asteraceae. The record is from RNAcentral.